AGUGAACGCUGGCGGUAGGCCUAACACAUGCAAGUCGAACGGCAGCACAGUAAGAGCUUGCUCUUACGGGUGGCGAGUGGCGGACGGGUGAGGAAUACAUCGGAAUCUACUUUUUCGUGAGGGAUAACGUAGGGAAACUUACGCUAAUACCGCAUACGACCUACGGGUGAAAGCAGGGGAUCUUCGGACCUUGCGCGAUUGAAUGAGCCGAUGUCGGAUUAGCUAGUUGGCGGGGUAAAGGCCCACCAAGGCGACGAUCCGUAGCUGGUCUGAGAGGAUGAUCAGCCACACUGGAACUGAGACACGGUCCAGACUCCUACGGGAGGCAGCAGUGGGGAAUAUUGGACAAUGGGCGCAAGCCUGAUCCAGCCAUACCGCGUGGGUGAAGAAGGCUUUCGGGUUGUAAAGCCCUUUUGUUGGGAAAGAAAAGCAGCAGGUUAAUACCCCGCUGUUCUGACGGUACCCAAAGAAUAAGCACCGGCUAACUUCGUG
RNAcentral lists this ribosomal RNA (492 nucleotides) under uncultured bacterium. RNAcentral's name for it is "partial 16S ribosomal RNA". It matches the Rfam family "Bacterial small subunit ribosomal RNA", at positions 29 to 507 of the family's 1533-position model. The record is from RNAcentral.